This 218-nucleotide ribosomal RNA is filed under the name uncultured eukaryote. Its description in RNAcentral is "partial 18S ribosomal RNA". It matches the Rfam family "Eukaryotic small subunit ribosomal RNA", at positions 131 to 322 of the family's 1831-position model. The record is from RNAcentral.
GGAGCUACGUGGAUAACCGUAGGAAUUCUAGAGCUAAUACAUGCACCAGUCGCCGAGGCUCUUUGGUUAGACUUUGGCGGGAUUUAUUAGAUCAAAAACCAAUCGCCAUUCAUCACCUGAUGGAAGGCGUGGCGGGAUGAAUCACAAUAACUAAACCGAAUCGCAUGGCCGUGACUUGGCCGGCGAUAAAUCAUUCAAAUUUCUGCCCUAUCAACUUU